GAUGAACGCUGACGGAAUGCUUAACACAUGCAAGUCUUUCGCGAAGCUGUGCUUGCACCGCCUAGCCAAGGCGGACGGGUGAGUAACGCGUAAGGAACUUGCCCUUCAGUCUGGGAUAACAGACGGAAACGACUGAUAAGACCCGGUAAAGUCAGGCGGCCUCAUGUUCAGCCCGAUGAAAAGAGAUGCUGCAGGCGAGCCUUGCGUCCUAUUACCUUGUUGGUGGUGUAACGGCCCACCACGGCGAUGAUAGGCAGACGGCCUGAGAGAGUGGACGGCCACAAGGGGACUGGGAUACGGCGCUUACUCCAUCGGGCGACAGCAGUGGGGAAUAUUGGACAAUGGGGGCAAGCCUGAGACAGCAAUUCGGUGGGAACGAUGAAGGGUUUGGAAUGGUAAAGAGCUGUCUGAAGGGAAGAAAAAAUGACGGUACCUGCAGAAGAAGCGACGGCUAACUACGUG
RNAcentral lists this ribosomal RNA (462 nucleotides) under uncultured bacterium. RNAcentral describes it as "partial 16S ribosomal RNA". It matches the Rfam family "Bacterial small subunit ribosomal RNA", at positions 28 to 507 of the family's 1533-position model. The record is from RNAcentral.